RNAcentral lists this ribosomal RNA (166 nucleotides) under uncultured bacterium. RNAcentral describes it as "partial 16S rRNA". It matches the Rfam family "Bacterial small subunit ribosomal RNA", at positions 355 to 511 of the family's 1533-position model. The record is from RNAcentral.
UAGGGAAUCUUCGGCAAUGGACGAAAGUCUGACCGAGCAACGCCGCGUGAGUGAAGAAGGUUUUCGGAUCGUAAAACUCUGUUGGUAGAGAAGAACGUUGGUGAGAGUGGAAAGCUCAUCAAGUGACGGUAACUACCCAGAAAGGGACGGCUAGACUACGUACCAG